ACCACUGGUGGGAGGCGCUGUAUUUAAUUGUUGGAGUCAAUGAUCUUGAGGUCCAACUGUGACAACAUCUACAUACCUGCAGCAGCCGUCCUACUGACUUGUACAUUAAUAGCCGACAAAUUGAACUGUGUCAUCUUGGAAGCGUGUGUCAACAGAAUUCUAUCCAACCGCCAGUCGGUGACAUUGCCAGAAUUAAAACUGCAUUGGGCCACUCACAGGAAGCUCCUUAUUUAUGGACCACUGGUGGGAGGCGCUGUAUUUAAUUGUUGGAGUCAAUGAUCUUGAGGUCCAACUGUGACAACAUCUACAUACCUGCAGCAGCCGUCCUACUGACUUGUACAUUAAUAGCCGACAAAUUGAACUGUGUCAUCUUGGAAGCGUGUGUCAACAGAAUUCUAUCCAACCGCCAGUCGGUGACAUUGCCAGAAUUAAAACUGCAUUGGGCCACUCACAGGAAGCUCCUUAUUUAUGGACCACUGGUGGGAGGCGCUGUAUUUAAUUGUUGGAGUCAAUGAUCUUGAGGUCCAACUGUGACAACAUCUACAUACCUGCAGCAGCCGUCCUACUGACUUGUACAUUAAUAGCCGACAAAUUGAACUGUGUCAUCUUGGAAGCGUGUGUCAACAGAAUUCUAUCCAACCGCCAGUCGGUGACAUUGCCAGAAUUAAAACUGCAUUGGGCCACUCACAGGAAGCUCCUUAUUUAUGGACCACUGGUGGGAGGCGCUGUAUUUAAUUGUUGGAGUCAAUGAUCUUGAGGUCCAACUGUGACAACAUCUACAUACCUGCAGCAGCCGUCCUACUGACUUGUACAUUAAUAGCCGACAAAUUGAACUGUGUCAUCUUGGAAGCGUGUGUCAACAGAAUUCUAUCCAACCGCCAGUCGGUGACAUUGCCAGAAUUAAAACUGCAUUGGGCCACUCACAGGAAGCUCCUUAUUUAUGGACCACUGGUGGGAGGCGCUGUAUUUAAUUGUUGGAGUCAAUGAUCUUGAGGUCCAACUGUGACAACAUCUACAUACCUGCAGCAGCCGUCCUACUGACUUGUACAUUAAUAGCCGACAAAUUGAACUGUGUCAUCUUGGAAGCGUGUGUCAACAGAAUUCUAUCCAACCGCCAGUCGGUGACAUUGCCAGAAUUAAAACUGCAUUGGGCCACUCACAGGAAGCUCCUUAUUUAUGGACCACUGGUGGGAGGCGCUGUAUUUAAUUGUUGGAGUCAAUGAUCUUGAGGUCCAACUGUGACAACAUCUACAUACCUGCAGCAGCCGUCCUACUGACUUGUACAUUAAUAGCCGACAAAUUGAACUGUGUCAUCUUGGAAGCGUGUGUCAACAGAAUUCUAUCCAACCGCCAGUCGGUGACAUUGCCAGAAUUAAAACUGCAUUGGGCCACUCACAGGAAGCUCCUUAUUUAUGGACCACUGGUGGGAGGCGCUGUAUUUAAUUGUUGGAGUCAAUGAUCUUGAGGUCCAACUGUGACAACAUCUACAUACCUGCAGCAGCCGUCCUACUGACUUGUACAUUAAUAGCCG
Mya arenaria is the source of this 1531-nucleotide long non-coding RNA. RefSeq lists it as uncharacterized. NCBI's taxonomy places the organism in Eukaryota, Metazoa, Mollusca, Bivalvia, Myida, Myidae. The record is from RefSeq and is a predicted model, not a curated record. The transcript is spliced from 13 exons.